This 463-nucleotide ribosomal RNA is filed under the name Idiomarina sp. 8-48. Its description in RNAcentral is "bacterial SSU rRNA". It matches the Rfam family "Bacterial small subunit ribosomal RNA", at positions 35 to 487 of the family's 1533-position model. Lineage: Bacteria; Pseudomonadati; Pseudomonadota; Gammaproteobacteria; Alteromonadales; Idiomarinaceae. The record is from RNAcentral.
GCUGGCGGCAGGCCUAACACAUGCAAGUCGAGCGGUAACAGGAAGAAGCUUGCUUCUUCUGCUGACGAGCGGCGGACGGGUGAGUAAUGCUUGGGAACUUGCCUUUAGAGGGGGAUAACCAUUGGAAACGAUGGCUAAUACCGCAUAAUGUCUCCGGACCAAAGCAGGGGAUCUUCGGACCUUGCACCUAAAGAUAGGCCCAAGUGAGAUUAGCUAGUUGGUGGGGUAACGGCCCACCAAGGCGACGAUCUCUAGCUGUUCUGAGAGGAUGAUCAGCCACACUGGGACUGAGACACGGCCCAGACUCCUACGGGAGGCAGCAGUGGGGAAUAUUGCACAAUGGGGGAAACCCUGAUGCAGCCAUGCCGCGUGUGUGAAGAAGGCCUUCGGGUUGUAAAGCACUUUCAGUGGUGAGGAAGGGUUGUAAGUUAAUACCUUGCAACAUUGACGUUAGCCACAGAAG